This 399-nucleotide ribosomal RNA is filed under the name uncultured bacterium. Its description in RNAcentral is "bacterial SSU rRNA". It matches the Rfam family "Bacterial small subunit ribosomal RNA", at positions 64 to 507 of the family's 1533-position model. The record is from RNAcentral.
GAGCGGGCGUAGCAAUACGUCAGCGGCAGACGGGUGAGUAACGCGUGGGAACGUACCUUUUGGUUCGGAACAACACAGGGAAACUUGUGCUAAUACCGGAUAAGCCCUUACGGGGAAAGAUUUAUCGCCGAAAGAUCGGCCCGCGUCUGAUUAGCUAGUUGGUGAGGUAAUGGCUCACCAAGGCGACGAUCAGUAGCUGGUCUGAGAGGAUGAUCAGCCACAUUGGGACUGAGACACGGCCCAAACUCCUACGGGAGGCAGCAGUGGGGAAUAUUGGACAAUGGGCGCAAGCCUGAUCCAACCAUGCCGCGUGAGUGAUGAAGGCCCUAGGGUUGUAAAGCUAUUUUGUGCGGGAAGAUAAUGACGGUACCGCAAGAAUAAGCCCCGGCUAACUUCGUG